CUUCGGAUCUAGUGGCGGACGGGUUAGUAACGCGUGGGAACGUACCCUUCACUACGGAAUAGUCCCGGGAAACUGGGUUUAAUACCGUAUACGCCCUUCGGGGGAAAGAAUUUCGGUGAGGGAUCGGCCCGCGUUAGAUUAGUUAGUUGGUGGGGUAAUGGCCUACCAAGACUACGAUCUAUAGCUGGUUUGAGAGGAUGAUCAGCAACACUGGGACUGAGACACGGCCCAGACUCCUACGGGAGGCAGCAGUGGGGAAUCUUAGACAAUGGGGGCAACCCUGAUCUAGCGAUGCCGCGUGAGUGAUGAAGGCCUUAGGGUCGUAAAGCUCUUUCGCCUGUGAUGAUAAUGACAGUAGCAGGUAAAGAAACCCCGGCUAACUCCGUGCCAGCAGCCGCGGUAAUACGGAGGGGGUUAGCGUUGUUCGGAAUUACUGGGCGUAAAGCGCACGUAGGCGGAUUAGUCAGUCAGAGGUGAAAUCCCAGGGCUCAACCCUGGAACUGCCUUUGAUACUGCUAGUCUUGAGUUCGAGAGAGGUAAGUGGAAUUCCGAGUGUAGAGGUGAAAUUCGUAGAUAUUCGGAGGAACACCAGUGGCGAAGGCGGCUUACUGGCUCGAUACUGACGCUGAGGUGCGAAAGUGUGUGGAGCAAACAGGAUUAGAUACACUGGUAGUCCACACCGUAAACGAUGAAUGCAAGUCGUCCGG
Molecule: ribosomal RNA, 707 nt
Filed under: Celeribacter halophilus
Lineage: Bacteria; Pseudomonadati; Pseudomonadota; Alphaproteobacteria; Rhodobacterales; Roseobacteraceae
Description: bacterial SSU rRNA
Rfam family: Bacterial small subunit ribosomal RNA
Source: RNAcentral